ACAAUAACAUCAAAGUUUCUUACGUUAGUGAUGUCAUAAAGAGAGGUUUUGAUUAAGAGAAAACCAGGAGGAGAGAAACAGAGGCGGUAAAGGAAGAAGGAAAGGAGCCAAGUGAAGAGGAGGUUCUGGCACUGACUGCAGAAAAUCCGUCAGACACAUUGAGUCACACAUAGAAACUAUAAAACAAAAACAUGUUAAAAAAACAAAAAAAGAGAGAAAAGACUUUUAAGUAAAUAUUUUGCAUUUAAAGAGAUAAAAAAGUAAAACAUUUCUGUUCUGGUAGAACUUUUCUGAUGUGUAAAUUACCAGAUGAUUGUGAUAGCACAGAUUCAAAGGUUUUGUUUUAUUGAAAUUACAAAAUAAAUAAAAAACAAGAACAUAAAUCUACCUAGUAACAGAUAAAAAUGUGGUCUUUAUUAACUCUGGUGUG
Molecule: long non-coding RNA, 430 nt
Organism: Thalassophryne amazonica
Lineage: Eukaryota; Metazoa; Chordata; Actinopteri; Batrachoidiformes; Batrachoididae
Exons: 3
Source: RefSeq, a predicted model, not a curated record